This 71-nucleotide transfer RNA is filed under the name Loxodonta africana (African savanna elephant). It matches the Rfam family "tRNA". Rfam says of the family: Transfer RNA (tRNA) molecules are approximately 80 nucleotides in length. Their secondary structure includes four short double-helical elements and three loops (D, anti-codon, and T loops). Further hydrogen bonds mediate the characteristic L-shaped molecular structure. tRNAs have two regions of fundamental functional importance: the anti-codon, which is responsible for specific mRNA codon recognition, and the 3' end, to which the tRNAs corresponding amino acid is attached (by aminoacyl-tRNA synthetases). tRNAs cope with the degeneracy of the genetic code in two manners: having more than one tRNA (with a specific anti-codon) for a particular amino acid; and 'wobble' base-pairing, i.e. permitting non-standard base-pairing at the 3rd anti-codon position. The record is from Rfam by way of RNAcentral. Lineage: Eukaryota; Metazoa; Chordata; Mammalia; Proboscidea; Elephantidae.
GCAUUGGUAGCUCAGUGGUAGAAUUUUUGCCUUCCAUUCAGGAGAUCCAGGUUUAAUUCCCUGCCAACGCA